GGUAGGGGGCCUGACAGGGUGGCCCCCCACACUGGCACUGAAACACGGGCCAGACACCUACGGGUGGCAGCAGUAGGGAAUAUUGCACAAUGGGCGAAAGCCUGAUGCAGCAACGCCGCGUGCGCGAUGAAGACCUUCGGGUUGUAAAGCGCUUUUCUGAAGGAAGAGGAAGGACUGUACUUCAGGAAUAAGGAUUGGCUAACUACGUGCCAGCAGCCGCGGUAAUACGUAGGAUCCGAGCGUUAUCCGAAUUUACUGGGCGUAAAGCGCGUGCAGGCGGUCUGAUAAGUUGGAUGUGAAAGCUCCUGGCUCAACUGGGAGAGGCCGUUCAAAACUAUCAGACUAGAGGGCGGUAGAGGGAGGUGGAAUUCCCGGUGUAGUAGUGAAAUGCGUAGAUAUCGGGAGGAACACCAGUGGCGAAAGCGGCCUCCUGGACCGUUCCUGACGCUCAGACGCGAAAGCUAGGGGAGCAAACGGGAUUAGAAACCCCGGUAGUCCUAGCAGUAAACGAUGCGAACUUGGUGUCGGUGGGGUAAAAUCCGCCGGUGCCGGAGCUAACGCGUUAAGUUCGCCGCCUGGGGACUACGGCCGCAAGGUUAAAACUCAAAGGAAUUGACGGGGCCCCGCACAAGCAGCGGAGCGUGUGGUUUAAUUCGUUGCUACGCGAAGAACCUUACCCAGGUUUGACAUAUAGGUAGUAGGGAUUCGAAAGAUGACCGACCCUUCGGGGAGCCUAUACAGGUGCUGCAUGGCUGUCGUCAGCUCGUGCCGUGAGGUGUCCGGUUAAGUCCGGUAACGAGCGCAACCCCCAUUGUGUGUUACAAGUGUCACACGAAACUGCCGGUAUCAAGCCGGAGGAAGGUGGGGAUGACGUCAAGUCAGCAUGGCCUUUAUAUCUGGGGCUACACACACGCUACAAUGGUCGGAACAAUGGGUCGCAAAGCCGCGAGGUGGAGCCAAUCCUCAAAGCCGGCCUCAGUUCAGAUUGCAGGCUGCAACUCGCCUACAUGAAGUCGGAGUUGCUAGUAAACGCGCGUCAGCAUUAGUGCGUUGAAUACGUUCCCGGGGCUUGUACACACAGCCCGUCACGUCAUGGGAGCUGGUAACACCUGAAGCCGGUAUCCUAACCCGCAAGGGAGGGAGCUGUCGAAGGUGGGACUGGUGACUGGGACGAAGUCGUAACAAGGUAGGAGUACCGGAAGGUGCGCCUGG
RNAcentral lists this ribosomal RNA (1212 nucleotides) under metagenome. RNAcentral's name for it is "bacterial SSU rRNA". It matches the Rfam family "Bacterial small subunit ribosomal RNA", at positions 282 to 1521 of the family's 1533-position model. The record is from RNAcentral.